UACGUAGGGUGCGAGCGUUGUCCGGAAUUAUUGGGCGUAAAGGGCUCGUAGGCGGUUUGUCGCGUCGGGAGUGAAAACGCCGUGCUUAACACGGCGCUUGCUUUCGAUACGGGCAGACUAGAGGUAUGCAGGGGAGAACGGAAUUCCCGGUGUAGCGGUGAAAUGCGCAGAUAUCGGGAGGAACACCGGUGGCGAAGGCAGGUCUCUGGGCAUUAACUGACGCUGAGGAGCGAAAGCAUGGGGAGCGAACAGG
RNAcentral lists this ribosomal RNA (253 nucleotides) under uncultured bacterium. Its description in RNAcentral is "partial 16S ribosomal RNA". It matches the Rfam family "Bacterial small subunit ribosomal RNA", at positions 524 to 776 of the family's 1533-position model. The record is from RNAcentral.